CUUGUCUAGCAAAAUUUUGAGUCUCUCAGGGAGCUUUGCUGUUGCAGGAUGUGACUUUGAGGGAUGCUUUAGAGGCAAUGCUGAUGUGGGCAACCUUGCUGCAGCCUGGGGAUGCAAUCUGCAUCAGGCCUGUUUUUAAAGCUCGUGUGGCCAUGUAUUGCAUGUUGGCCUGGGCACCACUCCUGCUCGCCAUCUGGAAAACUGUCCUGUCAGGGCACUUGGAAUCACUCUGUCCCUGGCUGAAACAGUGCUGGCAGUGCAGGCUGCAAUCUCCUACAGGUCUUCCCCCAGCACAAGGAACAUGAUGGGCUGUGCCAUGGCUUCUGUCCUGGUUCCUGGAAAUCUGGCUGACUGUGGGUUUUAUAAGAAUAUCCUCCUUGGAGUCUUCAGUAUUUGCGCAUCUCUAGGACGGAUGCAACAUUCUCAAAAUGGGAGAAAAUGAACAGUGUUACAGAAACAGUAUUUUCUGUGUUUAGGAGUGAGAUGGCAGCUGCAUGGAUUUUUAAAUCUGGAGGCCCAUCAGUUUCCGCUGGGAGAUGUGAACAGCUCAGGAUCCAGAGUGAACUCAGCACCAGUUAAGGGAUAGAGUUAAAUAUCCUCCUUUAGCAGUGGGAUUUGAGACACGGCCCUACAGCAUCAGUCCCUGUUUCUGGUCAUCCAGUCUGUGCCAUAACCGCUGGAAACAUUGCUGCUCAGCUCUGGCUAAGUUAAUUCAAUUGGUUACAGUCAGCAUAUUUCUUAAAAGUAGCAAAAGGUUAAACCAGAAAGUGCUGGGAGAUCAUCAAAGCUGGUUCUAGAGGAAAGAGAGAAGUCUAAAUGCA
Molecule: long non-coding RNA, 821 nt
Filed under: Numida meleagris (helmeted guineafowl)
Lineage: Eukaryota; Metazoa; Chordata; Aves; Galliformes; Numididae
Description: lncRNA (ENSNMEG00000020889.1)
Source: RNAcentral